This is a non-coding RNA of Megalopta genalis, 1139 nucleotides long. Lineage: Eukaryota; Metazoa; Arthropoda; Insecta; Hymenoptera; Halictidae. The record is from RefSeq and is a predicted model, not a curated record.
UAAUGCGACGACGGGUUUUUGCUUAGCGAAUCAUCGCGAAACCGUGAAUUGUUCAGUGAUCCUUUAUAGUUUCUCACGAGGUGGCUCGGAUAAUUAUGCGACUGCAAGGAAGAAAGACGCAAGUCACGUGUUUUUCACCUUCGAGGUGGAUAGAGUAUCAUCAUCAGAACGUGAUGAGCGGCGUGGAUGUAAUGAGGCUGCGGGAUCAACGCCAUAGAAAAGUUCGUGUAUCACUGGAACACGGGGUGGCGUGGAUCCACAGGGCGGGAGAGGGCCGACGGGGAGAGGUGAAGAGAACAGAUUGAGGUCGAGGUCACGGUGAAAUUUUUUCGAAUUGCGUCAAUCAUGAGGCCUAUAGACUACGCGCGGAUGGUUGCCGGGUAGUGAUUACAUCGUUUUCAGUCGGCUGUAAUAUAUUACUUAGCUUGUUAUUAGUAUUAUGCCACGGUGUUUCUUCGUUAUAGACAAAAGAUUAAGUGACUUGUCAAACAUGCUGGGAGCAGUGAGAUCAUCUUAUCAAGGCGGGUCCGGAGACUAAUUGCCUGCGAAACGUGCAAUUUUGUUAGUUUGAUGGCCGAUCGACAAGAUUCGAGCGAGUGGCUCUUCUUUCUGCUGUUAUAGGAUGCUUGUUCAAAAUGUAGGGCAAACGCGAAGACGUUGAUUAAGCGUUCGAUUUACUAACUUCUUAUCAAGUUUUUAGUCCUUGUUUUCAUCGCGAUCUAAUAGAAACAUUUUUACGUAAAGUGCAUUCCGGAGGACUUUGUUUAAUUGCGAGGAAGUCGUGGAUAAAUCUUGAGUGUCCUCUUCGAAUACGGGCGCAAUUGCAACUUGAUCUUUUCUGGAAAUUAGAGGAUCCUUUAAAGUGUUAAUUAUAAUCUACAAUCUACGUUAUAAGUCUUCAUGUAGAGUUCAUUGUAAGCCAUGUAGUCAGAUCAUGCGACCACACUAGAAUCAAAAAUAUAUAAAUAAUAAUAAAGAAGCAUCUGCAGUUUAAUAUAAUAGGCGAUGAAUAGAUUACGAAUUUUUGUGAAAAAUAAUUAAUUUAUUAAUUGCAAGAUAUGGCAGCUAUAUACACAUUCAUUUCACUUAUUAAUAAUUUGAAUGAAUUGAUAGAAAUAUAACAGUAAAUUCUUUAAAUA